UACAGAGGGUGCGAGCGUUAAUCGGAAUUACUGGGCGUAAAGCGUGCGUAGACGGUUAUUUAAGUCAGGUGUGAAAGCCCCGGGCUCAACCUGGGAAUUGCAUUCGAGACUGAAUAGCUAGGGUACGGUAGAGGGAAGUGGAAUUUCCGGUGUAGCGGUGAAAUGCGUAGAUAUCGGAAGGAACAUCAGUGGCGAAAGCGACUUCCUGGACCAGUACCGACGUUCAGGCACGAAAGCGUGGGGAGCAAACAGG
Molecule: ribosomal RNA, 253 nt
Filed under: uncultured bacterium
Lineage: Bacteria
Description: partial 16S ribosomal RNA
Rfam family: Bacterial small subunit ribosomal RNA
Source: RNAcentral